GACUGUCCUCAUUUUUGAAAAAGCGAAACAGCGCCUGAAAAAGCGAAACAGCGCCUCCCCAAAUAAUACGUAUUAAAUGUGUGGUCACACACGGUACUGCACUAAAACGUCUCGCGGUCUGGUAGAAGUUGGAAUCUCUUGGGGACCCAAUUAAAUCACUGGAUGGUGUCAAUGUCACUGUAGGCCGAUUGAUAUCUCUACAAUCAUGAUUUAAAUCAUUUGGUGUCGUACGUGGUAAACAUUUGAAUUUGUUAAUAGAAGAACACAACCUUAUUGAACAUCGACUUUAACACCAAGUUAUAAAUUAUUUCCGACGGCAGCUGAAGGGAGGCCUUCAGACCUUUAAGGAGGUGACUGGUUCGGGUGCGUCUCACGGGGACGGUUGAAGGGAAUGCUGGCUGAAUGGAACAAAGUAUCCAGCUCCACUGGGAUCUGGUAGUUCAAGGAGCAUCUGCAGCAGAGACUGCACCACUGGUGUUCCUCUGGUUUGGAAUUGACCCUCUCAACCAGACUCACUCUAUCAUUCCUUUUCAGCUCCAGUCACUUCACGUUAUGGAAACAAAGGCGAGUACUCCAUCACUGCACGGCACUGCACCGGUACAAUAAUGUACAAACUCCAGCUGAAGACUUUAGACACUGUGAAAGGAAGGCGCAGACAUUUCACUCAAGUUGUUUUGAUGGGAAGCGUGACUCCAACAGAAUUCCUCACCUCCCUUUUUUUUUCUGGAGAUGACUAAACUCAAUUAGUCUCCCAGAGCUGAGAGUUGUUGAAAGUGAAGGACGGUGCCUGUUUAUGUUUAGCAUUUAUCAGACGCCUGGCAGCUAAUGAGCGAAAUCAUUAUUCACUUUUCUUUCUUUAAGGUUUUUUUCUCUCCUCACGCUUUAAAAGUGUCAGCCACAAGUAUGUGCCGGCUGCACACAUGGAAUGAACAUGUGGAAGAACAGCUGUGCUGUUUAACAUUGGCUGGAAUGUGUGGACUGCAAGUUCUGGUUAAGGUUUUAUCACUUGAUUAACUCUUAGUUUUUCCUUUUAGUGAAUUCCUCAGCAAACACAGAGGAAUUGAAAGUUCAUGCCCAGUAGCUUUUAUCAUUGUGGCUCAAUAUAUGAUUUAAAUUUAGCACAAUUUAAAUGCUUCAAGUUGAACAAUAAGGAACCUGAACACAGCUACACUAUAAGAUUCCACAGGAAAAGGCCAAGCUAUAAAUGACCACAAUAAAAUAUGAUGGCAGUAAUGAUGCUUUAUGUGU
RNAcentral lists this long non-coding RNA (1248 nucleotides) under Betta splendens (Siamese fighting fish). RNAcentral describes it as "lncRNA (ENSBSLG00000001827.1)". The record is from RNAcentral. Lineage: Eukaryota; Metazoa; Chordata; Actinopteri; Anabantiformes; Osphronemidae.